This 409-nucleotide long non-coding RNA is filed under the name Polistes fuscatus (common paper wasp). RNAcentral describes it as "uncharacterized LOC122518576". Lineage: Eukaryota; Metazoa; Arthropoda; Insecta; Hymenoptera; Vespidae. The record is from RNAcentral.
UUAAACUUUACCACUUUUCCUCAUAUAUAUAUAUGAUAUAUUUUUCAAUAUUCACUAAUUAUUCUAUUGUUUAUUUUCCGAGAAAAAUUUGUAGUCUGUCUUACCUACCACGACCGGUCAUUUGACCGGUAGUACGAUUUAUACAUUUAUGUAAGAGUUUCUCUCUAAGACUCAAUGCCAAAACUAUAAAGUCGUUACAAACGAAAGUUCUCACUCGACUAUCGGGCUAGCGGUGUUUAUUUGCUUGAUUGAUAUCCGAUACGGUCAAGAUCCUCGAAUGUUCUACGCCAUCUUAUCUACUAUGACGUAAAAUAAAUAAACUUGUAACUGAAGGAAGUAUAUAGACGUCUUCUCACGAAUUCAAAUCAGUAUAGUCUUGCGACACGAACAGAGUGCAUCGAACGUGAAA